UUGCAGAUCUGACACAGUGAUAGCAACAAACAAUCAGGGAAUUCCUCCAUGCCACAAGUAUCCCUUAUUUUAGGAGGGUUUUUUUGUUGCUUGUGAGAUCUUCCACAGAAUACCAAGCUUUGCACUGUUUUGGGAGAUCUAAGAGCAGACCCUGCCUGGGCCCUACCAGAAUGGCUUGUCAUUGAAAACCAAGAUUUCUUCCCAAUUUACCACCAUCGAGCUCAGGGUUGAAGGUAGUAAGCUUUUUGUAUUUAUAUAUAAAAUCCAUGCAUGAUUUCUCUCUCAAUCCAUCUGACAGUAACAAAUAACUCAGUAAUAAUUUCUUUUUCUAAAAAAAAAAAUCCAGAGGAAAAGAAAAGGAAAGUGAAUAAAAACAGACUUCUGGGGCAUUUCCCAUAUCACAAUCUCUGCCUCAAAUCCCUGUUAUCUGGGAAAGGACCUUCCUGUGUGGAAGAAGGUUUGGGCAGAAUUCAGACCUGAGCACCAUCUUCCUAAAAAUAGUAUCUUCCACCCUUCAUUUUCCCAGUGAGAGCUGUAUCCUGGGGUACCACUAGGUUCUUUCCAAAUACAUAUUACAAGGCAACAUCUCCACUGUAUGUUCCUGCCUGCUGGAAGAGUUCUCUCAGCUGCAGGGAGGAUGCUGCAAAUUGCCUGAAAAUGUUGAAGCAGCAUUCCCAACCGACUAGUCCCAUGUUAUGUUUCUCUACAAAUUUGGGGGAUUAUCAUUGGUUUUGGUGAGUUCUCCAGCUUCUGCAGCGGGAAAAGUUUCCCCUUGCCUUAGGAAGAGGAAAAGCUUCUACAAGCGUGAAUAAACCAACAGAGAAUUGCAGGAAGGGUUUUUUUUCCAAAUUACCCCAUAAAAUCCCUGCACUAUAUGUCACAGGUGCACAAGCUUUCAUAAAACAAGAGUCAGUACAGCAGCAGCUCUUGCACAUAACUUCCCCCUGCGCCCUGGCAUGGGCUGUGUGUUGUGUGGGUGCCCACACUGCUCUAGGAUCUCACUUUGCAGAGCAGCAUCAUGGAUCCCCCACUCCUGCCCACCCCCCAUCCUCAGCACUGCCACAGAGGAGACACUUACGUUUGAAAGAUCAGUCCUAAUAUGCCCAACCCAUAACAAUUUCAUUUCAGAGAAACAAGCUGGGAAACUGCAGAUAAAAGCCACUUCUAAAGAUCAUCCUCAAGAACACUCAGCCAGGGGACCAACUUGUGUGAAUCACUAGCAGAAAAUCAUGACCCAGUAGGGUCACUUCCCUGAUUAUUUUCUGGUAACUACAAAAUAAAAUGAAUUACAUUCUUUUUAUAUGAAGACUUUCAGGAUGCCUUACUGAGUUCUCAGCCCAUCAUCCUGCAAUCCCUCACCUCCAGCUUGGGCUCAGAGACUCCUGUGAAUCACCUCAGCAUGUCCAAAGUCUAUUUUGGCACCUAGAGCUCUAUUCUUCCACGUGCACACAAGCUCUGGCUGGUCACCAAAACACAUGUCAGAGAAUGGAAUAACCACCGUACAGGAUUAGAAAUGAGGAACAGAAGCCACAUCAACAGCCAAUUCUUCACAGACUACCAGCUGUCCACAAACAAGCCAAAGAAAAUCCUGCAUAUUGGAGAAGUGUUAGCACCAUCUAACAACAGCUCAUAUCAAACAGCUACAUAACUACAGUGUAUGUGGUACUAGAUAUAUCAAACCAAGACAAAUUAGUGCUCAGUUUUGAGGUUCUUCCCUGAAGUGGGUGGGAUAAGCUUUUCCUUUAGCUUUUGCUGUGUUUCAGUUCACUUGCCUCAUCCCGAUCCCGCCAGUUCUACUCCGCAAUCCCAUAAACCCCAGAUGAAACUCCAGAAAACAAUCAAUUAGAUAAAUAUAUUAUUUCUUACUCGAUACAAGUUACUGAUUCAUCUAAGUUUAUUCAAUAUGUUCAUGGUCCUCAUAGUAGUUUUGAUGACCCUCACUUUCACUUCAAUUUUAUAACAACAGAGAAAUCUUUAGCACUGUUUUAUGUUUCAUUGUGGGAAAAAAUUGAGUACUGUCAGUUUAAGGCAAUCUUAAAUCUUGACUGAAUUACUUUUGUCCUCUCUAAUUAUUACUUUACCAACAGAUACACUUCUGGCAUCCUCCUCCCAUUCAUGUUUCCUUAUGAUCACAUUCUAAAACCAGAUGCUAAUGAAUCAGAAUUUAUCUAGUUUCCAAUUUCACUAAUUAUUUAUCAGAUCAGCUAAAUCAGUUUCAUUUAGAAUUAUAGGCUUAGUUAUAUAACACAGACUUUUUUCUCUAUUAAAAAUGUUAAGCUGCCUAAAAGUAACUAAUAUACUAAAUUUUAAUCUCUGUUCAAGGUCCAAAUAUAUUAUUAAUAAGUGAUCUUAAAUUGACAAGAACAUGCUUAAUUCUAGACAUAUCCUUUUAAUUCAAAAUUAAUUAAACAAGAAUGGAAAAAGCAAAUUGCGUUAUUGAGUAUAACAGAACCUGCAAAAUCACACUAAAGCAUUUUAACAUUCCAGAGACAACACUGAAGCCAGCCUGGUUUUUUUAUCUUCAAAAAUGCUAUGAAAUAUGAACAUACUAAUCUUGACAACAAAUGAGACAAAAGUUAAGGUGCUGAAAGAUGCAUAGACCUUCGACUGCCAGAGGUUAGCUCCGGAGAUGGGAACGUUGCAGGUAUCAAGGAACAGCAUUAGUGUCAGAGCCUGGCAAGUAGGACACUGCACAGCGUGGUCACACCAGCUCUGGGAAGGGGCCAGCUCCAUUGCUUGUUGCACACACUUCCUUAAUUAGAUCCUGAGAACCUUAAAACAUUGUUUUUUAAAAAGUGUGUUUGCAUUAUUGAAAGAAAAUUAUCUUCCCCUGUGACAAAUAAUAUGGGACAUCUGCUCUUCACAGGUGUGCUCCCAGCCUUAAAACCACAACUGAGCCUUUCCCCAAAUAACUCCUGCUGCAUUUAUCACCUGCCCUUACAUUUUCCAAUCUUCCGCACAUGGGAAGGCAGACUAAAUAACCACAAUAACAUCUUCUGAUACCAUGUCUUUGAAGCAACAUCAUUCCACCCUUACAGGUUUCCUAAAUCUGAGGCAGCUCUGCAGAGAAUGAGCGGGUACGGUGUGCAACUGGGGAGUGAAGCUCCUCGGCUCAAGAGGGAGCAGCUCGUGCUGUUAGGAGUCUCCAGCCUUGCUCCCAUGCCGUGCAUCACUCAUACCCAAGCAUGAUUUCUUCCCGAGGCAAAAUCACACCACUUGCUCUUUGCAGAUUAGCACUUGGCUGUUCAAUCCGUAUUUCUCUGCUUCAGAUCACCAAGCAACACCAAGUACUUUAGGUCUUUCAGUCAUCCUAAAUCCCAUCACUAUUAACAAGAGAAACACACUGUUGUUUUUUUGGUUUUGUGGACCAUUUUUCUAGCAUGAGGAUUUUGGGGCAUUUCAGCAAAGUGGAAAAGAACGGAGCAAUGACAUUAUUUUUGUCCCAUUUCCAGGCAGAGAGCCAGUUCUCAGAAUUUUUCUGAGAAGCCAAUUGAUUCAUGCUUGUCUCAAGUCCCAGCAUCCUUAUGAAAAGCUGUCAGAGGGCAGCCAAAAUCGUACAAUUGCUUCACCUACUGCCAAACACUGAGAUAAAAGGCCGCUCUGUUUCAAUCAUAAACAAAACCAGGGAACUGUCACAGAGCAAACAGCCUUCCCCGAAAUUCAUAUUGCACCCAGAAGUUCACCAAUCAGUUAGUCAUUGCUGUAAAUCAACAUGACUAAUAAGGUCAUCUCCGCAUCUUACUGAAACUGAUGCUUUUCUGCCUAUGGGUUGGUUUGACCCAAGGCAACACUGGUGAACUGCACAGCAGGGUGGAGAGUCAUGUUGAAGAAACCUCCCCACAAGUUCCUCAGCAGGUCUUGCUUUAAGCCAGGCUUGAAGGUGUCCUGUGGCUAAUACUGCCAAGUUUCCACUUACAUACCUGGUCAGUGGCAGGAGCCGUGCAAGCUGCCAAAAUGGGAGGGGAAGAAAGAGCAAAAUGGAGAACACCACAGCCUGCGUUUCUUUUGGCUUUGCAGUCUUAGAAACCAGCUUGUGUCAGAUACAGAGAGAAAUGGGACUAUAAUUUAGACGUGUUCCUUCUUUAGGUGAACUAACUCACCUGCUCAUAUUUCAAAGCAUCCUUAAGAUGCCAAUAUAUUGGUAUAUCUUCACAGGAAAAAUUCUACAGAAAGACCGAUAGCUAAUUUAGCAGGACUCCUUCAUUACAAGUGCUUACACAGCAACUCAAUUAUCCGCAGACUCUCAGACAACCUUUCAGCCACACAAUGUCUGUACAACACUUAUAUUCACUUUACAAGUAGAUAAAUCAAGACCUACUGUCUUGGAAAUAAAAUCUGAGAGCAGCAGUAGAGCAAACAAUGUACCCCAGCUGGGUUCAUCCCUGAUUUCUCACUACAGAAAGCCUGAACUGCACACACUCAAAGUUUUCAAGCUUUUUUUCUCAGCCAUGAGAGCAAAGCACACCCUUCUGUAUAAACCAGAACUCUUUGAUAACCACUCUGUUUGCCAGACUACAAGCAGUAACAGAAAGGCAGAAAAUAGAGAGAGAUUAUAAAAUUAAGAUAGUCGGGAACGUAUUUCACAGAACUUUCAUGCUUCAGUGCUGUUCCAUCAGAUACCUGAGGGAAAGCAUGACUUUGGGCAUGUUUUGGACUGGCUAUUCAUCAUGCCUGAAAUUCAUCUCUUGGAAGUAAGCUGUAUCAGUUCACCCACCCAGCUUUUUCUUUUUUUUUUUUUCCAGUUGAAUUAGUUUACUAAUGGGUUUAGUGAAGGCAAGAACUAAUGCAAGAGAAGUGCUGGGAACAUACAGCCCUGAGUGAAAGCAUGGUGGAGAAACCUGAGCAGGACCACUCCUUUCAAGAGCAGUUAGAUGCUCAGCAGUUAGUUGAGCAGAGGAGCUCAACUUAUCUUAUGCAACUUUAAUGUAACUUGAGUUUCAUUGCUGUUCUAUGCAACCAACAUGGAAAUAUAUUCUUCACAGUUGCCUGGCACAGCCUAAGCUAGAUGCCUGAAUUUCAGCAACAUGAGAAUGCCUGAAAACCACAUGAUGGCUCACGGACCAUUUCUGUUGUGAAUUUAAAGCAAUUGUAAUGUCUGAGACAGUUCUUCAAUGCUCAUAACUGAAUUCAAAUUAAAAGCAACAACCAAGAGACACAAGCCUGAGCAUCUCUGCCUGAGGCAGAAGAAUUGAUAUAUUAACUAAAGGAUAAGGUGGAACACAUCGUACCUCAGGAAAUGCAUUUGCUCCAGAACACAUUGAGACUGUCAACAAUUUGGCUUGGAUGUUUACAGCACAGUACACAAAAGAAAAUCAUUACCAUGCCACAG
This is a long non-coding RNA of Aquila chrysaetos chrysaetos, 5329 nucleotides long. RefSeq lists it as uncharacterized. Lineage: Eukaryota; Metazoa; Chordata; Aves; Accipitriformes; Accipitridae. The transcript is spliced from 4 exons. The record is from RefSeq and is a predicted model, not a curated record.